GCAACCCACGGUGUCCGCAGUUUCUCCUUCCUCCUUCUCAUUGCCUGCUCUCAAAGCAAGCUACCCAGAGAGAGAAAGAGAAAAUAGAAUGACAAUUAAAUGAGGCUGUCCAUAGUUUGUAACAGGAAAGCCUGAGGAGAAUGAAGAUCUAAGAAGUUAAGAAGUUUAAGAAGAUCUAAGAGUUACCAGCUAUUGAAUCUUGGAUGCGACCUUGGGAAGCCAGAAGUGCAUAAGACGAUGGAUUUUACAACUUAUUUUGGGAUUCAGAGCAAUUACAUUCCCUUCCUCAGAGCCAAGAAAGGUGAGGAAAGGGAAGAAAGCGGUAGAGAUCAAUAUACAUUUACCAUACUCUUCAUCACAUUCUGACAACUGGACAGUAAGCAAUAUGAAGGCAGAGCCUGUGUCUGUCUUGUUUACCAAUACAAUUCUAGCACCACACAUCCACUGUACGUGGCACA
Non-coding RNA from Microcebus murinus (gray mouse lemur), 458 nucleotides. The record is from RefSeq and is a predicted model, not a curated record. NCBI's taxonomy places the organism in Eukaryota, Metazoa, Chordata, Mammalia, Primates, Cheirogaleidae.